This 301-nucleotide ribosomal RNA is filed under the name uncultured bacterium. RNAcentral's name for it is "partial 16S ribosomal RNA". It matches the Rfam family "Bacterial small subunit ribosomal RNA", at positions 509 to 807 of the family's 1533-position model. The record is from RNAcentral.
CAGUCGCCGCGGGAAUACAGAGGGCGCGAGCGUUAAUCGGAUUUACUGGGCGUAAAGGGCGCGUAGGCGGUUUAGUGAGUGUGAUGUGAAAGCCCCGGGCUUAACCUGGGAAGUGCAUCGCAAACGACUAAACUGGAGUAUAAGAGAGGGUGGCGGAAUUUCCGGUGUAGCGGUGAAAUGCGUAGAGAUCGGAAGGAACGUCAAUGGCGAAGGCAGCCACCUGGCUUAAUACUGACGCUGAGGCGCGAAAGCGUGGGGAUCAAACAGGAUUAGAUACCCCUGUAGUCCCUGUCUCUUAUAC